UUGCUUUACGUAUGGCUGCUGCUAGUGGCUCAAUAGCUAAACAAAAAAGCAAAGGAGAGAGGGGUGACCCCUGUCUAGUUCCUCUGCCCAACAUAAAGUAGUCUGAUAUGAGCCCAUUAGUCUGAACUGCUGCUUCUGGAUGUUUAUAUAACAUACGAAUCCAUUUUAUAAAUGUAAUACCAAAUCCAAAUUCUUCUAAGAUUUUAAAUAGAAACCCCCAUUCUACCAUGUCGAACGCUUUUUCGGCGUCCAACGAGAUUGCAGCAACUGGGGACUGGGUGUCAGCCAGCGACCACAUGACAUCAAUGAGGCGUCUUUUAUCGGAGGAGCUACGACCACGAAUGAAUCCUACCUGAUCACUAUGGAUCAAUGAUGUAAUUAUGCUGUCUAAACGGUUUGCUAAAAUUUUAGAAAUUAUCUUAACAUCGAUUUGCAUUAAUGAUAUCGGACGAUAGUUCUUACAUUCCUUCCAAUCUUUACCUUUCUUAGGAAUUAGACUAAUGAGGGCCUGUCUCAAAGUGGGUGGCAACACCCCUCUCCCCAGCGCCUCCCUAUAUACCUCCAGUAAAGGUGAAGCUAGUUCCGAGGCAAAGCACUUAAAGAAUUCCCCCGUGAAGCCAUCCGGCCCCGGUGCCUUGCCUGUUGGCAAUGCCUUAAUUACCCCUUUAAUUUCCUCAAUAGUAAUAUCUGAAUCAAGAAAAUCCCUCUGUUCAUCCGUCAGUUUUGGGAGUCCUAACUGUUCUAUAAAGCUAUGAAUUUCUUCUUCAUCAGAGGUACAGUUUGAACUAUAUAAAUUACUAUAAAAUUCCUUAAAAGCCUGAUUAAUGUCUACCGUUGCAGUAAGCAGGUCUCCAGACUGCAAUCUAAUAGCAGGAAUAGUGGAAGCCAACUCCCUCUGUUUUAUAUAACUGGCAAGUAGCUUUCCUGCUUUAUCUCCUGACUCGAAAUAGGUUUGUCUUGCCCUGAAUGAGUUAAAUUCAAUCUUAUGGGUUAUUAAGUUAUUGUAUUGAUAUUUUAGUUUUGUCAAUUUUUUCAUGCCAUUUUGUGUUAAUUGUUGCUUCAGCUCUGUUUCAACCUGUUUUAUUUUAUUUUCUAAUUCUAGCAGCUCCCGUGUUUUAUUUUUCUUAUUGUAUGAUGUGUGUUGGAUUAUACGUCCUCUAACCACUGCCUUUAGGGCCUCCCAUGCCACGCCAGCUGAUGAUACAGACUACCAGUUGAUCUCUAAAUAACUUUUAAGUUCGGUCCUCAACCAUUCUGUAUUUGCUGGGUCCUGUAAAAGUGACGAGUUUAGACGCCAUCUAUAAGACCUUCUUCUCUCAUCUUGCGGUAACAAGUCCAAACUGACAGUAGCAUGAUCAGAGAUCAAAAUAGACCCUAUUUCACAUCUCACUGCACAGGGACUGAGCUCUUUGGAUAUUAGGAAAAAAUCUAUUCGGCUAUAAAUCUUAUGUACUGAUGAGUAAAAAGUAUAAUCCCUCCCUGACGGGUUCAUGAGCCUCCAGAUAUCUAUCAAUCCUAAAGAUUUGCAAAUUGUUUGUAGUGUCAAAGCGGCUUUUGGCAUUUUACGCAACAUUGCCCCACUGUGAUCAAGCACUGGGUCCAUUAACAGAUUAAAGUCUCCUCCAAGAACAACGGGCUGAGCCCCCAGUAUUUGUAACUUCCCUUCAAGAUCAGAGAAAAAAGAUUGAUCGUCCAGAUUAGGAGCAUAUAUAUUGGCCAAAAUUAGUUUCUGCGACUGUAUUUCAGCCAGUACUAUAAUCAUCCUACCUGUAUUAUCUCUUAUUUGCUUCUGACACUUAAAUUGUAGAUGUUUACUUACUAAAAUUAUAACCCCUUUACUCUUGCUGGAGCCUACACUGUAAAAAACAUGUCCAACCCAUCCUACACAGAGCUUCUCAGAUUCUUCUUUUGACAUGUGAGUUUCUUGAAGAAACACCACAUCAUAUUUUUUGGCCUUAAGGAUGGCCAUCACCUUUUUUCUCUUGACGGGAUUCCCCAAACCAUUAACAUUCCAAGUGGAGAGACGCAUUAAAUUUAAUUGUGAAGACAUGUCUGCCUAAUCAUCGAUAACACAUGGCCGUUUAUCAAAAGCAAUAUCCUUACAGUGGUGGUGACUGUACCCCGCCCCCUCCCCCAAGAAAAGAAAAUAAUAAUAAUAAUAAAUAACACAAAUUUAGUGCAAUUAAACCUGAACUUUGCACAUUCUAACCCCCUCAAAAGUCCCUCUAACCGAGGUCUGACGGUCCGUGUCAGGUCCGCGGGGCUCCACUUGUCAUGAUCCCUCACUCACCGCUACCGCACAGGAAAAUAAGGCAACACCAGUGUCCUCAGCAGACGUUUGGGCGCGCAGGAUACCAAUAUGAACACCUCCAUCCAUCAAUACUCACUGCAAAGCAUCUAUGAAGGCCAUGGCUUUCCGUGGGCACUCAAAAGCUUUCUCACCGCUGCCGGUCUCAAUUCUCAGCUUAGCUGGGAACAGCAUCCUGAAACCAACCCCUCGGUCGUGCAGUUUUUUCUUGCAAUCUUUGAAUUUCUCACGCUUCAUCUGGGUGGCCCUGGAGUAAUCGGGGAAAAGCAUGACAGUAGUAUUCCCCCAGGUCAGCUUGCCUUUGUUCCUCGCUGCUCUCAUCACCGCAUCCCGGUCCGACGAUCUCAAAAACCGGGCCAGUAUUGGUCUGGGCCGGUCGCCUGGCGCUGGUCUCUGGCUCGGGACCCGGUGGGCCCGUUCAAUCUCCCGUCUCCCCUUGAUGUUUAGCAGACUCGGCAACAGCUCCUCCAGAAAUCUCACCACAUCUCCUGCCUCCUUACCCUCCGGAAAGCAGACGAAACGAACGUUGUUACGCCUUGAGCGAUUCUCCAUGUCCUCUAAUUUGUCCCAUAUCUGUGCGAUAUCAGCCUUGUUAGCUGGCGGGUUAGCUUGCCAGCCCUGCUCAGUCACUUCCAAGUACUCCACUCGUUUCUCUACGUCGUCCAUUCUUGUAAUAAGGGAUGAUAGUUUAGCUUCCACCGACGCUGUGGUGCAACGUAUUUCUGCGAGCCCCCCGAGAUCUUCAGAAAUCUUUGUAAGCAUUGAGUAGAUGUUGCUAAUAUCUUGAGCUAAGUCGUUAGCUUGCUGCUGCUCGGGCGCUUUAGCUCCAUCUUGCAUCAUGGCGUCGGCCCCCUGAGACCGUAGUAGUCUUUUUAUGUCUCCACAGCCUGAAGUCUUAGAAAGUUUCGACAUUUUUAGCACCCCCUUCAACUAAAAGUACUUAGUCUGAGUGAUAAUAUAUCUGGUGUUGAUAUUAAACAGGAUAAAGAUAGCAAUGAAGUGCGGAGCUCCCUACUCCGUGGCUUCCUCUCGCAUCACGUCGCGUGACUCCCAUCAUGGGGCUAGGUUAAGGUUUAAGGUUUUUGGCGUGGAGUUAAAAUCACUGUCCAAAACCUUUGUAGGAAGUCUUUUCCAACCUUUUGGAGUUAGUUGGACCACUAAAAAAAAGAAAAAUGAAAAAAAAAAAUUUGGGGUGUUCGGGCUUCCUGAAGGUAAUACCCGGGUAUUAGGUUUUGGGGCUAGGAUUAGGUUUAAGGUUUUUGGCGUUAGGGUUAAAAUCACUGUCCAAUAUUUUUUGAGGAACAUGUUUCAGACCUUUUGGAGUUAGUCAGACCAAAAAAAAAGAAAAAAGAAAAAAAAAUAUUUGGGGUUUUCGGGCUUCCUGAAGGUAUUAGGUUUUGGGGCUAGGGUAAGGUUUAAGGUUUUUGGUGUUAGAGUUAAAAUCACUGUCCAAAACCUUUUAAGAAACAAGAUUCAGACCUUUUGGAGUUGGUUACACCAAAAAAAAAUGUAAAAUGAAAAAAAAAAUAUAUACAGGUUGUUUGGGCUUCCUGAAGGUAAUACCCUUCAGGUUUAAGUAUUAGGUUAUGGGCUUGGAUUAGGUUUAAGGUUUUUGGCGUUAGGGUUAAAAUCACUGUCCAAUAUUUUUUAAGGAACAUGUUUCAGACCUUUUACAGCUAGUUUGACCAAAAAAAAAAAAGAAAAAGAAAAAAUAUAUAUUUGGGUUGUUCGGGCUUCCUGAAGGUAAUACCCGGGUAUUAGGUUAUGGGGCUAGGGUUAGGUUUAAGGUUUUUGGCGUUAGGGUUAAAAUUACUGUCCAAUAUUUUUUAAGGAACAUGUUUCAGACCUUUGGGAGUUAGUUAGACAAAAAAAAAAUAAAAAUAAAAAUAAAAAUAUAUAUUUGGGGUGUUCGGGUCUCCUGAAGGUAAUACCCGGGUAUUAGGUUAUGGGGCUAGGGUAAGGUUUAAGGUUUUUGGUGUUAGAGUUAAAAUCAGUGUCCAAAACCUUUUUAGGAACAUGUUUAAGACCUUUUGGAGUUGGUUACACCAAAAAAAAUGUAAAAUGAAAAAAAAAAUAUUUGGGGUGUUCGGGCUUCCAGAAGGUAAUACCCGGGUAUUAGGUUUUGGGGCUAGGGUAAGGUUUAAGGUUUUUGGUGUUAGGGUUAAAAUCACUGUCCAAAACCUUUGUAGGAACUCUUUUCCAACCUUUUGGAGUUAGUUAGACCAAAAAAAAGAAAAAAGAAAAAAAUAUAUUUGGGGUCUUCGGGCCUUCUGAAGGAAAUACCCAGGUAUUAGGUUAUGGGGCUAGGGUAAGGUUUAAGGUUUUUGGCGUAAGGGUUAAAAUCACUGUCCAAAACCUUUUUAGGAACUUGUUUCAGACCUUUUGGAGUUGGUUACACCAAAAAAAAUGUAAAAUGAAAAAAAAAUAUUUGGGGUGUUCAAGCUUCCUGAAGGUAAUACCCGGGUAUUAGGUUAUGGGGCUAUAGUAAGGUUUAAGGUUUUUGGCGUUAGGGUUAAAAUCACUGUCCAAAACCUUUGUAGGAAGUCUUUUCCAACCUUUUGGAGUUAGUAAGACCAAAAAAAAAACGAAAAAUGAAAAAAAAUAUUUGGGGUUUUCGGGCUUCCUGAAGGUAAUACCCGGGUAUUAGGUUUUGGGGCUAGGGUUAGGUUUAAGGUUUUUGGCGUUAGGGUUAAAAUCACUGUCCAAUAUUUUUUAAGGAACAUGUUUCAGACAUUUGGGAGUUAGUUAGACAAAAAAAAAAAGAAAAAGAGAAAAAAAAAAUUGGGUUGUUCGGGCUUCCUGAAGGUAAUUCCCGGGUAUUAGGUUAUAGGGCUAGGGUAAGGUUUAAGGUUUUUGGCGUUAGAGUUAAAAUCAGUGUCCAAAACCUUUUAAGGAACAUGUUUAAGACCUGUUGGAGUUGGUUACACCAAAAAAAAAAUGUAAAAUGAAAAAAAAAAAAUUGGGGUGUUAGGGCUUCCUUUAGGUAAUACCCAGGUAUUGGGUUAUGGGGCUAGGGUAGGGUUUAAGGUUUAAGGGGUUAGGGUUAAAAUCACUGUCCAAGACCUUAUUAGGAACAUGUUUCAGACCUUUUGGAGUUAGUUAGACAAAAAAAAACGAAAAAUGAAAAAAAAAUCUUUGGGGUGUUCGGGCUUCCUUUAGGUAAUACCUGGGUAUUGGGUUACGGGGCUAGGGUAGGGUUUAAGGUUUUUGGAGUUACGGUUAAAAUCACUGUCCAAUAUUUUUUCAGGAACAUGUUUCAGACCUUUUGGAGUUAGUUAGACCAAAAAAAAACUGAAAAAUGCCAAAAAAAUGUUUUUGGGGGUGUUAGGCUUCUUUUAGGUAAUACCUGGGUAUUGGGUUACGGGGGGAAGGUGAAGGUUUAAGGAUUUUUGCGCAAGGGUUAAAAUCACUGUCCAAAACCUUUUUAUGAACUUUUUUCCAACCUUUUGGAGUUAGAUAGACCAAAAAAAAAACUGAAAAAUGUCAAAAACAUUUUUUUUUAGGUGUUUGGGCUUCCUUAAGGAAAUACGCAGGUAUUGGGUGACGGGGCGAGGGUAAGGUUUAAGGUUUAUGGUGUUAGGGUUAAAAUCACUGUCCAAAACCUUUUCAGGAUACUUUUUUCCAACCUUUUGGGGUUAGUUAGACAAAAAAAAAAAACGAAAAAAAAAAAAAAAAAAUUCUUGGGUUGUUAGGGCUUCCUUUUGGUAACACCCGGGUAUUGGGUUACGGGGCUAGGGUUAGGUUGAAGGUUUUUGGGGUUAGGGUUAAACUCACUGUCCAAAACCUUUUUAGGAAAAUUUUUCAGACCUUAUGGAGUGAGUAAGACCGAAAAAAACGUAAAAUGAAAAAAAAAUGUUUGGGGUUUAAAGGCUUCCUUAAGGUAAUACUCAGGUAUUAGGUUAUGGGGCUAGGGUAAGUGUAGUGGCUAAGCCCCAGCUUGAAGCCACUGAGGGGCUGCAGGACAGGCUAAACUUAACAACGCGCUGAGUACACUUACUGGCACGUCCAAUUAAUUCAAGUCCACUCCUUGUUCGCUUAAUGUGAUCUUUUAUUUCUCACAUUUUGUAGAAAUAUCAAGUCAACACCACAGCAAAGCAUCUUGAACGGAGAUAGCGGUACCAAAAGCAUAUCUUCUAGCGGUUGAAAAACUGUGCGCUCUUCCGUCCGGCAACACCUGCCCAGUGACCCAAAGUUCCCACCUUUAUGACAAAAAGAAAACACACCCACCACCCGCUGGCAUAAAUUGGUAUUGCAGUGAGACAAAAAUGGCUCCUACACACCGGCCCCUAAUUGUAAUGGAUACCAGACAUACAAUUUUUUCAAAUAUAAACCAGGGAGCCAUAAUCAAAAAUAAUACAAUGACCAUAUUUACAGCACAAAUUAUUUCAUGUAUGAUAUUCAUGUGAAUCUUUGACCCUUUGACCUUCUAUUCUGUACCUUCACAAAGCCAGCAAAGCUUUGUCACAGGACGUUCAAUGAUGCUUGACUUUGUCUGUAAACGUACUGAACGCACCAGGCCUUUUUUAUCCUGAAAAACCUCCAAGACUCUUCCUAAUGGCCAGGAGCCUCUUGGGGCAGUAGCAUCCAUUAUAACCACAAUAUCUCCAGGCUUUAAAUUCCUCCUUUCCUGGUUCCACUUUUGCCUUUCCUGCAGUAGAGGUAGAUAUUCCCGUAUCCAGCGUUUCCAGAAAAGGUCAGCUAUAUACUGAACCUGUCUCCAUCUUCGCUUUACAUACAGAUCAUGUGGUUCAAAUAAUCCAGGUGGUAAAGAUGGUCUUCCCUUCAUGAGUAGAAUAUGGUUGGGGGUAAGUGGUUCCAGAUCGUUUGGAUCAUCGGAGAGCUUGGUGAUGGGACGAUCGUUUAAAAUGGCUUCAGCUUCACACAUCACUGUUUGAAGUCCAUCAUUAUCCAGUCUUUGUUGUUGACAAUACUGAAUGAUAGCGAGUUCAGCCUCCAAAAGUUCCUGAACUGUCAAAGCUUGUUUCUUAGGCUUGUCUGAUCUUAUUUUGCUGGUAUUGGGAGCCUCCGUCUCCUUCCUCCUGCAACAUUUUUCCAGCAGAAUGCCUUUCAGCCUAAGAAACCAGGCAACAGAUACUUUAAGCUUCAUCCAGUCUGAAAAGUAGGCUAUUAGCCGACCAGUGGCUUCAGGUGAACCUUCCACAUGGAUGACAUUCACCGUGGCUUCCUUCUUGACCUCUGUGUCAGUUGCUGAUAUAGCAAUCUCUACCAGCUUUGCAGGCCAGUUACCUUCUGGUUCAUACAGAAACUUUGGACCCUGAAUCCACCUGUUGUCCUGUAUGAAAUUUUCAACUCUCACUCCUCUGGAUGCAAUAUCUGCAGGACCUUGCAACCUUUGUUUUACCACAGAGAAGUUGUUGGGCAGAGACACAUCCUCCUUCUUAAAGGGUAACUUCAAGUUGUAAUGACCCUCUCUGGCUGUAGUAGAACUUUCCACAAUCUCCAUGAACCUCUUGUCCUCCCUCGAGAGCCCCUUUUCCUCUGUAGCUCUCUCGUUAAAGUCAUGGUUGUACUGCUCCUUUAGCAUAACUUCCAACCUGCUCACAGAAAUCCUGUUCACAACCACUGAAGGGACCUCAUCUUCCAAGCUGCUUCCAUUUCCUUGUAAAGGGCCAUUAAUUAUCCAUCCCAAUGCUGUUCUUAUAGCAUACGGGCCUUCCCCUUGGCUAUUUAUGACCUCCCAAGGCUCCAAUAGCUUGGGAGUGUUGCUUCCAAUCAACAGAUCCACGUUAGCCUUUAUGUUGGGAAUUUUUAUCUUUGACAAGUAGGACCACUUUGCCAGAUCUUCUUCAGUCACAAUGUUGUCUGUGCUUACAGGCAUUUUCUUUUGGGUGAGGGUUUCAGGAAGGUUGUAGAAAAGGUUAGUCUCCAAACCAGCUAUUUCUAAGCCAGAUACUGAAUAAGUAGGGACCACCCUUUCCUGUCCCAUAGUUUGUAGGAGAAAGUUAGUUCGUCUGCCAGCAAGAUUGAGCCUCUGCAUAAGCUGUUCUGAACAAAAGGUGGCUGUACUUCCAGGAUCCAAGAAUGCAUAAGUAUUGAUGAUACGGUCUCCUUUGAUGGAUUUAACCCGGACUGGGAGGAUGGAAAGAAGACAGCGAUCAUCUCCGGCCCCUGUAUGACCACACGUUUCAUGAGAUGAUGUGAUGUUACAUGCGACCGGCUCCUUGGAGUACUUUGUGUGUGUCUUAUCGUUGUCAUUUUGUUCAAUAUGAAGCACACUGGGGUGGCCUCGACUACAAACCCUGCAAGUCAAGCGCUUAUCACAGUUUUGACUAAUGUGCCCAGCACAUAAACAGCCGAAACAAAGCUCCUUUUCCUUUAGAAAGCUUAUUUUGUCUCUGUGUUUCUUCUUUUCAAACUGCUGACAUGCUUCCAAUAAGUGGCUUCCAGAACAGUACACACAAGUUAACUUAUGCACAAAUCCAUGCACCGGUGAAUCCACCCUUAACCUUCUGGAGUUCUCCUCUGAUUGUGCUGGUGUAAUGGUGGUGGCGAAGCUGUUUCCUCUCAACUUACUCACUGGCUGUGACCUCAUCCUGGGGUUGACCUUGGAAAUAGAUAAUCCAGAAGGAACAUCUCGAAUGUCACCAAAUAGAGGGUCAGAUAUUAUUCUGACAUGUUUUUCAAUGAAUGCAACCAGAUCCCUGAAAACAGCUCUAUGGUCAGAUGCCUCUAAUAUUUCGUAUGCCACAGUCCUCCAUCGUUCUCUCACCUUAAAUGGUAGCUUGGACAUGACUGCUCUCAUGGUACUUGGACUGUCUAACUCCCUCAUGUACUGCAGUCUCUCCAUGACAUUGCAACAUGAACGCAGAAAAAGAGAGUAACUUUGCAUUGCGUUCACAUCUUCGGCUUUUAUUGCAGGCCAAGCCAGAACACUUUCAAUGUAUGCAGUAGCGAUCUUAUACUCAUUGCCAAAAUGUUCUUGAAGCAGCUGUUUUGCUUGAGUAAAGCCGUACUCUGGAGCCAUAUGCUGGCAGCUCCGAACCAGUUCCCUUGGCUGCCCUCUGGUGAACUGCUCGAGGUAGUACAAGCAAUCUCCUCUGCUGACCUUAUCCUCCACUCCUUGCUCAAAGGCUCGCUUGAAGGAAAUGUACUGAAGAGGAUCCCCAUCAAAUAUUGGAAUGUCACGUGCUGGCAGUGACAUUAAGCGUUGCUGAUGUACAAGAGCUGCUGUUAUUUCAUUCUGCCUUUCCAUUAUGGCACAGAUGUUUCCAAAUUGCCUCUCAUCCGUUGACUGAGCGCUUAAAAGUGUAGGUUCCAUAGGCUGUGAGGAUACGUCCUGUCGCACUGUGCAUGGCUGCCUAGCCUCCUCUGCUAUCGUAGCAGUUGGUGGAAGAUCAUGUGCUGGCAGUGACCAAUCCUUUGCCUCCUGUUUGCUCUGAGUUGCUGGUUUGUAUGUUUUUGCCAUUGGGUUGAGCCUUUUAGAAGCUGUUGCCUUUUUGUGCUUGUCCAGGUAGGAAUUCAUUGCAUUUGAUGUUGCUGUAGAACCACUCCGAGACUCAGAAGCUUGUAGCACUGCUAGUUUAGCAGUAGAUGCAGCUAGCUUUGCUUCCAACUCCAGCUGUUGCUUUUUCCUUUUAAGCUGUUGCUCUUGUUCCUCCAAAGCAUGCAUUUUCUGUAAAGCUGCAGCAUGAGCAAGCAACUCUGCUCUUUCGGCCUCAGCUUUAAUUCUUGCCGCAGAAGUAGUGCUUGACUUUCCACUGCGUGAGCUUUUUCUGCUUGAAAGCUUGCUUGGUACAUUUGAAACACUGUCCUCUGGAUUCACAUCAUCGUUAUCAUCCUCAUCACCAUCAUCAUCAUCAUCAUCACCCUUUAAUGUCUGUUCAGCAACUGAGACCCACAUUUUCACAUGAGGAAUAAAUUCAUCAUUGGGUAUCAUUUUUGCUUUGAACCAUAUGCUGUGCUUUUCUUUUUCAUCAUCAGGCAAAAUAUCAAUUAAACACCCAUGAACACCUUUGGCUUCAUCACACAAUUUGAUCAAAUCAUCAAGAGCACGCUGAACCUUUACAUUGUCGUUGCUUUGCAUAAACCCUUUAAUUUUUUCUCUUAAGCCACCUGCCUUAUUUAGCUUAGCUUUCCUUGUAGCUUGCAACUUAUCAAACUUUUCAGCCAAGGCUUUAGCAGUCAGAGUUACAACGCGUUUUGGCUUGUCCUUUUGCGCAUUAAUGUCAAUGUUCAUGUUCAUUUCGGCUGAUUGCGGAACAGCCUCUGCGGGAUUUUUCACAGUUUCACCAACAUCCAUAUUGUUUUAACCAUACGCGCAACAUCGAUCACGCUCGUUGUUCGCCCCCUUUGACCACCAAUGCAUUGGAUUUACGUACUGAACAAUUGUGCACUUAACAUGAAUGGCCAUUCAUAAAUUUGUAGCGCUACUACUCACGGUGGACGCCUUGAUGAUCCCGGUGAAUGACUCCUUUGUCGGCAGCGUUUGAAGAUUGGCUCCCGGUGUUCUUUCUCCCGGUGUCCUCUCUCCCGGCGGCGUUCUCUCUCCCGGUGUCGUCCUCUCUCCCAGCGGCGUUCUCUCUCCCGGUGUCAUCCUCUCUCCCGGCGUCGCAUGCGAUAGGCAAGCUCCCUCAGGUACGUUCAAGUCAGCUUUCCCGGAUCCCAUCAGCUAGAAACUGUAGUGUUGUCCGCGACAUCCAACGCCGCCUGACUGUGAAGCUCUUCCCACUGACUUCAGCAGUUUUUCAACUUUGUGUAGUGGCUAAGCCCCAGCUUGAAGCCACUGAGGGGCUGCAGGACAGGCUAAACUUAACAACGCGCUGAGUACACUUACUGGCACGUCCAAUUAAUUCAAGUCCACUCCUUGUUCGCUUAAUGUGAUCUUUUAUUUCUCACAUUUUGUAGAAAUAUCAAGUCAACACCACAGCAAAGCAUCUUGAACGGAGAUAGCGGUACCAAAAGCAUAUCUUCUAGCGGUUGAAAAACUGUGCGCUCUUCCGUCCGGCAACACCUGCCCAGUGACCCAAAGUUCCCACCUUUAUGACAAAAAGAAAACACACCCACCACCCGCUGGCAUAAAUUGGUAUUGCAGUGAGACAAAAAUGGCUCCAACAGUAAGGUUUAAGGUUUUUGAGGUUAUGGUUAAAAUCACUGUCCAAAACCUUUUAAGGAACAUGUUUCAGACCUUUUGGAGUUAGUUAGACCAAAAAAAGAAUGUAAAAUGAAAAAAAAAAUGUUUGGGGUGUUAAGGCUUCCUUAAGGUAUUAGGUUAUGGGGCUAGGGUAAGGUUUAAGGUUUAUGGUGUUAGGGUUAAAAUCACUGUCCAAAACCUUUUCAGGAUACUUUUUUCCAACCUUUUGGGGUUAGUUAGACCAAAAAAAAAAAACGAAAAUUAAAAAAAAAAAAUUCUUGGGUUGUUAGGGCUUCCUUUUGGUAACACCCGGGUAUUGGGUUACGGGGCUAGGGUUAGGUUGAAGGUUUUUGGGGUUAGGGUUAAACUCACUGUCCAAAACCUUUUUAGGAAAAUGUUUCAGACCUUAUGGAGUGAGUUAGACCGAAAAAAACGUAAAAUGAAAAAAAAAUGUUUGGGGUUUAAAGGCUUCCUUAAGGUAAUACCCAGGUAUUAGGUUACAGGGCUAGGGUAAGGUUUAAGGUUUUUGAGGUUAUGGUUAAAAUCACUGUCCAAAACCUUUUAAGGAACAUGUUUCAGACCUUUUGGAGUUAGUUAGACCAAAAAAAGAAUGUAAAAUGAAAAAAAAAAUGUUUGGGGUGUUAAGGCUUCCUUAAGGUAAUACCCGGGUAUUAGGUUACGGGGCUAGGGUUAGGUUGAAGGUUUUUGGGGUUAGGGUUAAACUCACUGUCCAAAACCUUUUAAGGAAAAUGUUUCAGACCUUAUGGAGUUAGUUAGACCAAAAAAAUGUAAAAUGAAAAAAAAAAGUUUUUUGGGGUGUUAGGCUUCUUUUAGGUAAUACCUGGGUAUUGGGUUACGGGGGGAAGGUGAAGGUUUAAGGAUUUUUGCGCAAGGGUUAAAAUCAAUGUCCAAAACCUUUUUAGGAACUUUUUUCCAACCUUUUGGAGUUAGAUAGACGAAAAAAAAAAACUGAAAAAUGUCAAAAAAAAAAAUUUGAGGUGUUUGGGCUUCCUUUAGGAAAUACGCAGGUAUUGGGUGACGGGGCUAGGGUAAGGUUUAAGGUUUAUGGUGUUAGGGUUAAAAUCACUGUCCAAAACCUUUUCAGGAUACUUUUUUCCAACCUUUUGGGGUUAGUUAGACCAAAAAAAAACGAAAAUUAAAAAAAAGAAAUUCUUGGGUUGUUAGGGCUUCCUUUUGGUAACACCUGGGUAUUGGGUUACGGGGCUAGGGUUAGGUUGAAGGUUUUUGGGGUUAGGGUUAAACACACUGUCCAAAACCUUUUUAGGAAAAUGUUUCAGACCUUAUGGAGUGAGUUAGACCGAAAAAAACGUAAAAUGAAAGAAAAAUGUUUGGGGUUUAAAGGCUUCCUUAAGGUAAUACCCAGGUAUUAGGUUACAGGGCUAGGGUAAGGUUUAAGGUUUUUGAGGUUAUGGUUAAAAUCACUGUCCAAAACCUUUUAAGGAAAAUGUUUCAGACCUUUUGGAGUUAGUUAGACCAAAAAAAGAAUGUAAAAUGAAAAAAAAAAAUGUUUGGGGUGUUAAGGCUUCCUUAAGGUAAUACCCGGGUAUAAGGUUAUGGGGCUAGGGUCAGGUUUAAGGUUUUUGGGGUUAGGGAGAAAAUCACUGUCCAAGACCUUAUUAGGAACAUUUUUCAGACCUUUUGGAGUUAGUUAGACCAAAAAAAUGUAAAAUGAAAAAAAAAAAAAUGUUUGGGGUGUUAGGCUUCUUUUAGGUAAUACCUGGGUAUUGGGUUACGGGGGGAAGGUGAAGGUUUAAGGAUUUUUGCGCAAGGGUUAAAAUCACUGUCCAAAACCGUUUUAGGAACUUUUUUCCAACCUUUUGGAGUUAGAUAGACCAAAAAAAAACUGAAAAAUGUCAAAAAAAUUUUUUUGAGGUGUUUGGGCUUCCUUAAGGAAAUACGCAGGUAUUGGGUGACAGGGCUAGGGUAAGGUUUAAGGUUUAUGGUUUUAGGGUUAAAAUCACUGUCCAAAACCUUUUCAGGAUAGUUUUUUCCAACCUUUUGGGGUUAGUUAGACCAAAAAAAAAAACGGAAAAAAAAAAAAAAAUUCUUGGGUUGUUAGGGCUUCCUUUUGGUAACACCCGGGUAUUGGGUUACGGGGCUAGGGUUAGGUUGAAGGUUUUUGGGGUUAGGGUUAAACUCACUGUCCAAAACCUUUUUAGGAAAAUGUUUCAGACCUUAUGGAGUGAGUUAGACAGAAAAAAACAAAAAAUGAAAAAAAAAUGUUUGGGUUGUGUGGGCUUCCUUUAGGUAAUACCCGUGUAUUGGGAUACAGGGCUAGGGUAAGGUUUAGGGUUUUUGGGGUUAGGAUUAAAAUCACUGUCCAAUAUUUUUCAGGAACAUGUUUAAGACCUUUUGGAGUUAGUUAGACCAAAUUAAAAAAGAAAAAAAAAUUUGGGGUGUUAGGGCUUUCUUUAGGUAAUACCCAGGUAUUGGGUUAUGGGGCUAGGGUAGGGUUUAAGGUUUAAGGGGUUAGGGUUAAAAUCACUGUCCAAGACCUUAUUAGGAACAUGUUUCAGACCUUUUGGAGUUAGUUAGACAAAAAAAAAAACGAAAAAUGAAAAAAAAAUCUUUGGGGUGUUCGGGCUUCCUUUAGGUAAUACCUGGGUAUUAGGUUACAGGGCUAGGGUAAGGAUAAAGGUUUUUGGAGUUAAGGUUAAAAUCACUGUCCAAUAUUUUUUCAGGAACAUGUUUCAGACCUUUUGGAGUUAGACCAAAAAAAAACUGAAAAAUGCCAAAAAAAAGUUUUUUGGGGUGUUAGGCUUCUUUUAGGUAAUACCUGGGUAUUGGGUUACGGGGGGAAGGUGAAGGUUUAAGGAUUUUUGCGCAAGGGUUAAAAUCACUGUCCAAAACCUUUUCAGGAUACUUUUUUCCAACCUUUUGGGGUUAGUUAGACCAAAAAAAACCCCGAAAAAUUAAAAAAAAAAAUUCUUGGGUUGUUAGGGCUUCCUUUUGGUAACACCCGGGUAUUGGGUUACGGGGCUAGGGUUAGGUUGAAGGUUUUUGGGGUUAGGGUUAAACUCACUGUCCAAAACCUUUUUAGGAAAAUUUUUCAGACCUUAUGGAGUGAGUUAGACCGAAAAAAACGUAAAGUGAAAAAAAAAUGUUUGGGGUUCAAAGGCUUCCUUAAGGUAAUACUCAGGUAUUAGGUUACGGGGCUAGGGUAAGGUUUAAGGUUUUUGAGGUUCUGGUUAAAAUCACUGUCCAAAACCUUUUAAGGAACAUGUUUCAGACCUUUUGGAGUUAGUUAGACCAAAAAAAGAAUGUAAAAUGAAAAAAAAAAUGUUUGGGGUGUUAAGGCUUCCUUAAGGUAUUAGGUUAUGGGGCUAGGGUAAGGUUUAAGGUUUAUGGUGUUAGGGUUAAAAUCACUGUCCAAAACCUUUUCAGGAUACUUUUUUCCAACCUUUUGGGGUUAGUUAGACCAAAAAAAAAAACGAAAAUUAAAAAAAAAAAAUUCUUGGGUUGUUAGGGCUUCCUUUUGGUAACACCCGGGUAUUGGGUUACGGGGCUAGGGUUAGGUUGAAGGUUUUUGGGGUUAGGGUUAAACUCACUGUCCAAAACCUUUUUAGGAAAAUUUUUCAGACCUUAUGGAGUGAGUUAGACCGAAAAAAACGUAAAAUGAAAAAAAAAUGUUUGGGGUUCAAAGGCUUCCUUAAGGUAAUACUCAGGUAUUAGGUUACGGGGCUAGGGUAAGGUUUAAGGUUUUUGAGGUUAUGGUUAAAAUCACUGUCCAAAACCUUUUAAGGAACAUGUUUCAGACCUUUUGGAGUUAGUUAGACCAAAAAAAGAAUGUAAAAUGAAAAAAAAAAUGUUUGGGGUGUUAAGGCUUCCUUAAGGUAUUAGGUUAUGGGGCUAGGGUAAGGUUUAAGGUUUAUGGUGUUAGGGUUAAAAUCACUGUCCAAAACCUUUUCAGGAUACUUUUUUCCAACCUUUUGGGGUUAGUUAGACCAAAAAAAAAAACGAAAAUUAAAAAAAAAAAAUUCUUGGGUUGUUAGGGCUUCCUUUUGGUAACACCCGGGUAUUGGGUUACGGGGCUAGGGUUAGGUUGAAGGUUUUUGGGGUUAGGGUUAAACUCACUGUCCAAAACCUUUUUAGGAAAAUGUUUCAGACCUUAUGGAGUGAGUUAGACCGAAAAAAACGUAAAAAGAAAAAAAAAAUGUUUGGGGUUUAAAGGCUUCCUUAAGGUAAUACCCAGGUAUUAGGUCACGGGGCUAGGGUAAGGUUUAAGGUUUUUGAGGUUAUGGUUAAAAUCACUGUCCAAAACCUUUUAAGGAACAUGUUUCAGACCUUUUGGAGUUAGUUAGACCAAAAAAAGAAUGUAAAAUGAAAAAAAAAAAUGUUUGGGGUGUUAAGGCUUCCUUAAGGUAUUAGGUUAUGGGGCUAGGGUAAGGUUAAAGGUUUAUGGUGUUAGGGUUAAAAUCACUGUCCAAAACCUUUUCAGGAUACUUUUUUCCAACCUUUUGGGGUUAGUUAGACAAAAAAAAAAAAGAUAAAUGAAAAAAAAAAUUUCUUGGGUUGUUAGGGCUUCCUUAAGGUAAUACCCAGGUAUUAGAUUACAGGGCUAGGGUAAGGUUUAAGGUUUUUGAGGUUAUGGUUAAAAUCACUGUCCAAAACCUUUUAAGGAACAUGUUUCAGACCUUUUGGAGUUAUUUAGACCAAAAAAAGAAUGUAAAAUGAAAAAAAAAAUGUUUGGGGUGUUAAGGCUUCCUUAAGGUUAUACCCGGGUAUUAGGUUAUGGGGCUAGGGUCAGGUUUAAGGUUUUUGGGGUUAGGGAGAAAAUCACUGUCCAAGACCUUAUUAGGAACAUUUUUCAGACCUUUUGGAGUUAGUUAGACCAAAAAAAUGUAAAAAAAAAAAAAAAAAAUGUUUGGGGUGUUAGGGCUUCCUGAAGGUAAUACCCAGUUAUUAGGUUACGCGGCUAGGGUAAGGUUUAAGGUUUUUGGGGUUAGGGUUAAAAUCACUGUCCAAUAUUUUUUAGGAACUUUUUUCCAACCAUUUGGAGUUAGAUAGACCAAAAAAAUGUAAAAUGAAAAAAAAAAAUGUUUGGGGUGUUAGGGCUUCUCUUAGGAAAUACCCAGGUAUUGGGUUACGGGGUAGGUUAAGGUUUAAGGUUUUUGGCGUUAGGGUUAAAAUCACUGUCCAAAACCUUUUUAGAAACAUGUUUCAGACGUUUUGGAGUUAGUUAGACCAAAAAAAAUGAAAAAUUUAAAAAUAAAUGUUUGCGGUGGUAAGGCUUCCUUUAGGUAAUACCCGGGUAUGGGGUUACGGGUCUAGGGUCAGGUUUAAGGUUUUUGGAAUUAGGGUUAAAACCACUGUCAAAUACCUUUUUAGGAACAUUUUUCAGACCUUUUGGAGUUAGGUAGAGAAAUAAGAACUGAAAAAUGAAAAAAAAAAAUUGGGGGGUGUUCGGGCUCUUUUAAGGUAAUUAGGUUCUGGGGCUAGGGUCAGGAUUAAGGUUUUUGGCGCUAGGGUUAAAAUAACUUUCCAAAACCUUUUUAGGAACAUGUUUCAGAUCUUUUGAAGUUACUUAGACCAAAAAAAAUGAUAAGUGAAAAAAAAAAUGUUUGGGGUUUUAGGGCUUCCUUUAGGUGAUACCCGGGUAUUGGGUUAUGGGACUAGGGUUAGGUUGAAGGUUUUUGGGGUUAGGGUUAAAAUCACUGUCCAAAACCUUUUUAGGAAAAUGUUUCAGACCUUUUGGAGUUAGUUAGACCAAAAAAAAAAAAGAAAAAUGAAAAAAGGUUUGGGGGGUGUUCGGGCUUCCUUAAGAUAAUACCCGGGUAUUGGGUUACGGGGCUAGGGUUAGGUUUAAGGUUUUUGGCGUUAGGGUUAAAAUCACUGUCCAAAACCUUUUUAGGAACAUGUUUCAGACCUUUUGGAGUUAGUUAGACCCAAAAAAAAUCGAAAAAUGAAAAAACAAUUUUUGGGGUGUUAGGGCUUCCUUAAGGUAGUACCCAGGUAUUGGGUUAAGGGGGUAGGUUAAGGUUUAAGGUUUUUGGCGUUAGGGUUAAAAUCACUGUCCAAAACAUUUCUAGGAACAUGUUUCAAAACUUUUGGAGUUAGUUAGACCAAACAAAAAUUGAAAAAUGACAAAAAAAUUGUUUGGGGUGUUAAGGCUUCCUUUAGGUAAUUUUAGGUAGUAUUAGGUUCUGGGUUCUGGGGCUAGGGUCAGGUUUAAGGUUUUUGGCGUUAGGGUUAAAAUCACUUUCCAAAACCUUUUUAGGAACAUGUUUCAGAUCUUUUGGAGUUAGUUAGAACAAAAAAAUAUGAUGAAAAAAAAAAUGUUUGGGGUGUUAGGGCUUCCUGAAGGUAAUACCCAGGUAUUGGGUUACGGGGCUAGGGAAAGGUUUAAGGUUUUUGAGCUUAGGGUUAAAAUCAAUGUCCAAAACCUUUUUAGGAACAUUUUUCAGAUGUUUUGGAGUUAGUUUGACCAAAAAAGAAUCGAAAAAUGAAAAAAAAAAUGUUUGGGCUGUUAGGGCUUUCUUAAGGUAAUACCCAGGUAUUGGGUUACGGGGCUAGGGUAAGGUUUAAGGUUUUUGAGCUGAAGGUUAAAAUCAAUGUCCAAAACCUUUUUACGAACAUGUUUCAGACCUUUUGGAGUUAGUUAGACCAAAAAAAAAAAUGUAACAUGACAAAAAUCGUUUUGGGGUGUUCGGGCUUCCUAAAGGUAAUACCUGGGUAUUGGGUCACGGGGGUAGGGUAAGGUUAAUAGUUUUUUGGGGUUAUCGUUAAAAUCACUGUCCAAUAUUUUUUCAGGAACAUGUUUCAGACCUUUUGGAGUUAGUUAGACCAAAAAAAAAAACUGAAAAAUGCCCAAAAUUUUUUUUUGGGGGUGUUAGGCUUCCUGUAGGUAAUAUUAUUUUAUAUUGGGUUACGGGGCUAGGGUAAGGUUUCAGGUUUUGGGGGUUAGGGUCAAAAUCACUGUCCAAGACCUUUUUAGGAACUUUUCCAACCGUUUGGAGUUAGUUAGAACAAAAAAAAUCAAAAAAUGAAAAAAAAAUAUUUGGAGUGUUCGGGCUUCCUUCAUGUAAUACCCGGGUAUUGGGUUACAGGGUAGGGUAAGGUUAACAGUUUUUGGGGUUAGGGUUAAAAUCACUGUCCAAGACUUUUUUAGGAACAUGUUUCAGACCUUUUGGAGAUAGUUAGACCAAAAAAAACAAAAAAUGAAAAAAAAAAUGUUUGGGGUUGUAAGGGCUUCCUUUUGGUAAUACCCGGGUAUUGGGUUACGGGGCUAGGGUAAGGUUUCAGGUUUUGGGGGUAAGGGUCAAAAUCACUGUCCAAGACCUUUUUAGGAACUUUUUUCCAACCUUUUGGAGUUAGUUAAACCAAAAAAAAUCAAAAAAUGGAAAAAAAAUAUUUGGGAUGCUGGGCUUCCUUCAUGUAAUACCCAGGUAUUGGGUUACGGGGCUAGGGUAAGGUUUAAGGUUUUUGAGCUAAAGGUUAAAAUCAAUGUCCAAAACCUUUUUACGAACAUGUUUCAGACCUUUUGGAGUUAGUUAGACCAAAAAAAAAAAUGUAACAUGACAAAAAUCGUUUUGGGGUGUUCGGGCUUCCUAAAGGUAAUACCUGGGUAUUGGGUCACGGGGGUAGGGUAAGGUUAAUAGUUUUUUGGGGUUAUCGUUAAAAUCACUGUUCAAUAUGUUUUCAGGAACAUGUUUCAGACCUUUUGGAGAUAGUUAGACCAAAAAAAACAAAAAAUGAAAAAAAAAAUGUUUGGGGUUGUAAGGGCUUCCUUUUGGUAAUACCCGGGUAUUGGGUUACGGGGCUAGGGUAAGGUUUCAGGUUUUGGGGGUAAGGGUCAAAAUCACUGUCCAAGACCUUUUUAGGAACUUUUUUCCAACCUUUUGGAGUUAGUUAGACCAAAAAAAAAUCAAAAAAUGAAAAAAAAAUAUUUGGGGUGUUCGGGCUUCCUAAAGGUAAUACCUGGGUAUUGGGUCACGGGGGUAGGGUAAGGUUAAUAGUUUUUUGGGGUUAUCGUUAAAAUCACUGUCCAAUAUUUUUUCAGGAACAUGUUUCAGACCUUUUGGAGUUAGUUAGACCAAAAAAAAAUCAAAAAAUGAAAAAAAAAAUAUUUGGGGUGUUAGGGCUUCCUUCAUGUAAUACCCAGGUAUUGGGUUACGGGGCUAGGGUAAGGUUUAAGGUUUUUGAGCUGAAGGUUAAAAUCAAUGUCCAAAACCUUUUUAGGAACAUGUUUCAGACCUUUUGGAGUUAGUUAGACCAAAAAAAAAAAAAAAAUGAAAAAAAUAUUUGGGGUGUUAGGGCUUCCUAAAGGUAAUACCUGGGUAUUGGGUCACGGGGGUAGGGUAAGGUUUAAGGUUUUUGAGCUGAAGGUUAAAAUCAAUGUCCAAAACCUUUUUAGGAACAUGUUUCAGACCUUUUGGAGUUAGUUAGACCAAAAAAAAAAAAGGUAACAUGACAAAAAUCGCUUUGGGGUGUUCGGGCUUCCUAAAGGUAAUACCUGGGUAUUGGGUCACGGGGGUAGGGUAAGGUUAAUAGUUUUUUUGGGUUAUAGUUAAAAUCACUGUCCAAUAUUUUUUCAGGAACAUGUUUCAGACCUUUUGGAGUUAGUUAGACCAAAAAAAAAACUGAAAAACGCCAAAAAAUGUUUUUUGGGGUGUUAGGCUUCCUGUAGGUAAUAUUAUAUUAUAUUGGGUUACGGGGCUAGGGUAAGGUUUCAGGUUUUGGGGGUUAGGGACAAAAUCACUGUCCAAGACCUUUUUAGGAACUUUUUUACAACCGUUUGGAGUUAGUUAGAACAAAAAAAAAAUCAAAAAAUGAAAAAAAAAUAUUUGGGGUGUUCGGGCUUCCUUCAUGUAAUACCCGGGUAUUGGGUUACGGGGCUAGGGAAAGGUUUAAGGUUUUUGGGGUAAGGGUUAAAAUCACUGUCCAAGACCAUUUUAGGAACAUGUUUCAAACCUUUUGGAGUUAGUUAGACCAAAAAAAACAUAAAAUGAAAAAAAAUGUUCGGGGUGUUACGGCUUCCUUUAGAUAAUACCCGGGUUUUGGGUUAUGGGGCUAGGCUAAGGUUUAAGGCUUUGGACGUAAGGGUUAAAAUCACUGUCCAAAACCUUUUUAGGUACAUGUUUCAGACCUUUUGGAGUUAGUUAGACAAAAAAAAAGGGACAAUGUCAAAAAAAAAAAAAUUGUGUUAGGGCUUCCUUUAGGUUACACCUGGGUAUUGGGUUGCAGGGCUAAGGUUAGGGAUGUAGAAUUAGGGUAAAAAUCACUAUCCUUAAGCGUUUUAGGAGAAUGUUUCACACCUUUAGGACACAGACCAAAAAAAAAAAAAAUGUCAAAAAAAAAAAAAAAAAAUUGGGGGGUGUUAGGGCUUUCUUUUUCUGUUCUUUUUGGAGUAUGUUAGAACAAAAAAAGAGCUUCCUUUAAAGAAGCUGGUCAGUGAUUUUAACCUUGACCCUAUAAUCCUAACUUUAGCACUGUAACCCAAUCCAGAAAGGAAGCCCUAACAAUUUUUUGGACAUUUUUCCUUUUUUUUGUAAUAACUAUCUCCAAUAGGUAUGGAACAUGUUCCUAAAAAGGUAUUGCACUAUGAUCUUAACCCUUACCUCAAAUCGCAAAACCUAAUUCCGUAACCCAAUACCUGGGUGUUAUACAAAGAAAGCCCUAAAACCCCCAAUUUUUUUUUUUACAUUUUUCCUUUUCUUUUGUUCUAACGAACUCCAAAAGGCCUUAAACAUGCUCCUAAAAAGGUCCUGGACAGUGAUUUUAACCCUGACCCUAUAAUCCUUAGCACUGUAACCCAAUACCCAGCUGUUACAAAAAAGAAGCCCUGACAUCCAAAAAAAAAAAAGUUUUUUUUUUGCUAACGAAAUCCUUAAGGUUUGAAACAUGUUUCUAAAAGGUUCUUGGACAGUGAUUUUAACCCUACCCGACAUCCCCGCCAAGCUCUGCAGGAGAAGAAGAGGAUGCAGAGCUGGAGUUCAGCAUCGGGCAAAGUGGAGACGUUAUAAACCAACUGUACCGUCCAUUGUCAUGGGAGACAAGAGGUCUCGCCCCUACAAGAUGGAAUAGCUCACAGCACUGACUAGGCUGCAGUGGGAGUACCGGGAAUGCAGCCUCAUGAUGUUCACGGAGUCAUAGCUGAACAAACUCACUCCGGACCCGCUCGUAACUUUGGACGUAUAUCAUCUCGUCAGAGCAGACCGGAGCGCGAGGGAGAGUGGUAAGAAGAAAGGAGGCAAGAUAGCUGUGUAUGUGAAUGAGAGAUGGUGUAAAGCUGGGCGCAUCAGUGUUAAAGAGCAGCCCUGCCCUAAGGACAUUGAGCUGCUGGCCGUGAGUUUGCGGCCAUAUUACCUGCCGAGGGAGUUUUCGCAGGUCAUCGCGUUAACUGUUUACAUCCCCCCCUCGGCUGAUGCUGCUGCAGCCUGUGAAAUCCACCAUAGUGAAGUGUCCAAGCUACAAACAUCACACCCUCAGUCUCUGAUCACCAUCUCUGGAGACUUUCAUCUUCAGCUUGAGCCUGAGUCUGGAGAGGGUUCCAACACUGUGGAAGACUUCCUGCGUGAUUCCUGUCCCCAAGACAGUACACCCCAGGGAGCCCA
Molecule: non-coding RNA, 21973 nt
Organism: Xyrichtys novacula (pearly razorfish)
Lineage: Eukaryota; Metazoa; Chordata; Actinopteri; Labriformes; Labridae
Source: the annotation of a GenBank genome assembly